Molecule: regulatory RNA element, 126 nt
Organism: Oribacterium sp.
Lineage: Bacteria; Bacillati; Bacillota; Clostridia; Lachnospirales; Lachnospiraceae
Rfam family: azaaromatic riboswitch aptamer (yjdF RNA)
Source: Rfam
CACAGCAAAGAUAAAAACGCAACGCAUACAAAGAGCUAUGCCAGAGCCGGUAGGUAGCCCGGCCGUCACAGAAUCUUGUGGUAAGUAACCUUCCCCUCCGGGUUGUCCAUUCUUUGUUCAUAAAGU